Dipodomys ordii (Ord's kangaroo rat) is the source of this 115-nucleotide small nucleolar RNA. Lineage: Eukaryota; Metazoa; Chordata; Mammalia; Rodentia; Heteromyidae. The record is from Ensembl.
AGUUCUUGUUUGUCAUUGUUUAAUUUGUAACAAAGACAGGUGCAAAACAUAAAUCCUCCUUGUAAUCCAGGAUUCAUUGUUCAGUAUGAGUUUUGAUACAUGUAAGAAGUAUGAC